This 443-nucleotide ribosomal RNA is filed under the name uncultured bacterium. RNAcentral describes it as "bacterial SSU rRNA". It matches the Rfam family "Bacterial small subunit ribosomal RNA", at positions 30 to 467 of the family's 1533-position model. The record is from RNAcentral.
AUUGAACGCUGGCGGCAGGCCUAACACAUGCAAGUCGAGCGGAUGAGUGGAGCUUGCUCCAUGAUUCAGCGGCGGACGGGUGAGUAAUGCCUAGGAAUCUGCCUGGUAGUGGGGGACAACGUUUCGAAAGGAACGCUAAUACCGCAUACGUCCUACGGGAGAAAGCAGGGGACCUUCGGGCCUUGCGCUAUCAGAUGAGCCUAGGUCGGAUUAGCUAGUAGGUGAGGUAAUGGCUCACCUAGGCGACGAUCCGUAACUGGUCUGAGAGGAUGAUCAGUCACACUGGAACUGAGACACGGUCCAGACUCCUACGGGAGGCAGCAGUGGGGAAUAUUGGACAAUGGGCGAAAGCCUGAUCCAGCCAUGCCGCGUGUGUGAAGAAGGUCUUCGGAUUGUAAAGCACUUUAAGUUUGGGAGGAAGGGCAGUAAGUUAAUAACCUUGC